AACGCGAAGAACCUUACCAAGGCUUGACAUAUACCGGAAACGGCUAGAGAUAGUCGCCCCCUUGUGGUCGGUAUACAGGUGGUGCAUGGUUGUCGUCAGCUCGUGUCGUGAGAUGUUGGGUUAAGUCCCGCAACGAGCGCAACCCUUGUUCUGUGUUGCCAGCAUGCCUUUCGGGGUGAUGGGGACUCACAGGAGACUGCCGGGGUCAACUCGGAGGAAGGUGGGGACGACGUCAAAUCAUCAUGCCCCUUAUGUCUUGGGCUGCACACGUGCUACAAUGGUCGGUACAAAGGGCUGCGAUACCGUGAGGUGGAGCGAAUCCCAAAAAGCCGGCCUCAGUUCGGAUUGGGGUCUGCAACUCGACCCCAUGAAGUUGGAGUUGCUAGUAAUCGCAGAUCAGCAUGCUGCGGUGAAUACGUUCCCGGGCCUUGUACACACCGGUAUCUC
This 447-nucleotide ribosomal RNA is filed under the name uncultured bacterium. RNAcentral describes it as "bacterial SSU rRNA". It matches the Rfam family "Bacterial small subunit ribosomal RNA", at positions 958 to 1400 of the family's 1533-position model. The record is from RNAcentral.